AUGUCUUCUGCUAGUUCUGCCCGGUCUGGUCUCCGCGGCCGGACAGUGGUGGUGCCACUCAUCCCAUGUCCUCGCUGCCAGGCGACAGUGAGGUACUACGUUUCGAACACAGAGGAUCACGAGGGCUGGGUGUUCUACAGAUGUCCCAAUCACUCCGCUACUGGGUGUGAUUUCUGGUUUUGGGAGAUGGAAUAUGUUGCGUACCUAGUAGAUGCUCAUUUCUUGGUUGGGAACCAAGCUGUGGAUGCUGUUGGAGCAACAGAGGAGAGGAGGGAAGAACUCAUUAGGGCUAGUUAUGAAAGGAGAAGGAUUGCAACUCAAGUGGCAACUAGUAGAGCUGCUUUGGCAAGGCCUGGCUCUCUGCAGCAGAAUAUGAGCAAGCACCAAGAAAGUGCAUUGAUUGGAUUAGGUGCAGAGAUCUUGGUGCUGCUGAAGCUUCUGUUAGGUAGUGUGAUGCUGUUGUGUGCCCUCUGUGUUCUUCUAUUGAUGAAGAAGUGA
This 498-nucleotide ribosomal RNA is filed under the name Triticum aestivum (bread wheat). Its description in RNAcentral is "partial small subunit ribosomal RNA". Lineage: Eukaryota; Viridiplantae; Streptophyta; Magnoliopsida; Poales; Poaceae. The record is from RNAcentral.